Long non-coding RNA from Triticum aestivum (bread wheat), 1963 nucleotides. RefSeq lists it as uncharacterized. The record is from RefSeq and is a predicted model, not a curated record. Lineage: Eukaryota; Viridiplantae; Streptophyta; Magnoliopsida; Poales; Poaceae. The transcript is spliced from 2 exons.
ACAACUGCAAUCGAUUUCAGAAAAAAAAACUACAAUGACGCAACCCCCAAUCCUCACCGAAACUGCCCCCGCGAUACCGUCUCGGGCGCUCUCCCUGCCGCCGGCACAACGCCCUCGUCGUCGCGCUCUUCGUCAGAGCGGCGUGCGCUGGAAGCCGGAGCCGGGAAGUAGUGUGGCCACCAGCGGGAGACAAGGGGAGGCGUGGUCGUGCUCUCUCUGGUCGGCGAUGGAGGCCGCGCGCGAGCCCGCGGCGCGGCGGCUCCCGCUCCCCCUCGCCUCUUCGAGUCUUCGGCCACACCGGUUUCCUCCCAAAGCACGAAGUGGGAACAUGUGUGGCGGCCGCUGGCGAACGAGGCCGCACGCGAGCCCGCGACACGGCGGCGCGGAAGCCUCUUUCCCCUGCCGGUUUGAAAUCCGCACCGUCGUCGGCCAGGUAACUGCUCCCCUCCGGUUAGGCCCGGGCUUGGGCAUGUGCAGAUGGUGCGAGCAAUCACCAAGCCAUCCGCGAUUCGUUGAUCCCUACGAUUCACUCUCUAAUUUGCAUCGGUCAGUAAAAAAUCCUCCUCUAUAAGGGGAACAGGUUGCUUUGUUUUGUAUUCCAUCUAAUUUGUGCUUUAAUUCUUUUUGGGCUCUACUAAUUUUCCAUAUGCUCCAGUUGAGAGAGCAAGAGAAGGUUAGUACUGCUCCAUUAUCUACUAAUUCCGGCAAUCAAGGUCAAUAGAGGUUACAUCAAUCAGGGUCAGUAAUCAGUGUUACUGAUUUCAUAGAAGACAUGUAUAGCAGUACUACUCCAUCGGCAAGCGUUCGUUGCUGGAUUUCUUUCACGCCUAUGUGGUGAUGUGCGCCUGUGCCAUGGUCGCUCUCCCUCCUAGCCUGCUUCUCCAGGUUUGAUUUUUUAAGUUUCAUGCCUUUGUGUUUUAUAAGAUGUCAUCCCGAAAGUAUUUGUAACAUGAAAAACCAAAGAAAGAGAAGAUUAGCAGGUGAGUUUAUAAAUUCUCAAAAGGAAGUCAUUGAAGAAAUUUUAGGACAAAUAUAAGUUCUAAUUGGAACUUGAACCGGCAAUGGUACUGAAUCUUCCGUUUAUGGAUCCUAUGUUUUCUUUUUCUUGGUUUCCUUUCCCGAAUAUGAAAUCUGUGGUUUGUGUACUUCUUAUAAACAGAGAUGUGCUGCUCCUUCUGCAUACUUUUAUUCUGUUCUUAAGAAUUUGACUGUAUUUAAGUGUUUUUUUUUGCCAGAUCGUUGUUUCAUGCAGGUGCACUUUUUUCAGAAUCAGGAGCUUUUCUGGACUGAAUAAGUAGAGUUAUAGUCAUGCUGAAGGCUGAAAACGAAGCUAGGAUUCAUAUUUAUCCAAGCACACCUUUGCCGCUCAGGCAAAGCAUUUUUUGCACACAGGUGACUGGAAUUUUCAGCCACGUCGGUCGACAUGUGCCUGAGAAGUAGGUGAGAUGGAGCUAACGCUGAGAUGGAGGCGACACUGCCUGCCGCGGCGUCUCCAAGAUGCAGAGCUAGGACCUGGAUGGAGGCAGGGCCGAUGCAACUUGUGGUGGCGUCUCCAAGAUGAUGUUCUAGGACCUGGACGGAGGCAGGGAAGACGCAACUUGUCUUGGCGUUGUCGGCAGAGGACAUGCAGCGGGUUGUAGGGUUCUGGUGGAGGUCGGUUAGAGGGAUGACCGGUGGCAGCAGCGGCAACUCGGGCAGAUCAGGGCGGCGAGGCUGCAGAGUGGGUGUUCGUGUUUGGUGGCGUGUGCCUAGAGAAAGAAGGUGACAGUCCGUUGGAUGCAUAAUAUGUGAGGGUGGAGGGAAAACUGACUGAAAAAUAAUCUUUUCAAGCCUGAAAUAGUCGCUCUCAAUUGUAACCAUAGAAGCUUGGCACGGUUUUGAAAAACCAGAGUUGCCUGUGUGUUGUAUAUAGGACUGAGUUUUUUCUUGCAACUUUAAGGCCUUUAUUUUGAUCUAUCUUGAA